AGACUAUACCUAAUACUUAAAGUAAGCUUAGCUAUGUGAAUGAGGCAUGACAGGAAGUUAACUUGAUUUGUGAUUGUAAUUUCAGUUCUUGGUUUAACAUAGAAAUAGCGGGAAUAAUCAUGAUCUCUUGAAUGAUUGAAAGUGCAAGAGUGCGCUUUGCUGAAAUUCCAAGUAAUGCUGCCGUUUGUUUUGGUUACAAUUUUGAGAGUAAUGGCUUCAGUCUGCUUCUGCCUUAUACAAGCCCAUUGAAUAGCUGAUUCGGUUUCUGUAACUGUGUCGACGCCGAGAAGUCUAGUGCUAUUGAUAUUAAAUAGGCUCUUCAGCCACCUGUUUUCCUUUCUGUCCUGUGUCGUUCUCUUGGUUCGGGACCCAAGAUAACGACACAAGGCAGAUUAUGUAAUGGUCUAGGUUCCCGACAACCACUGACCACGACAUAAAACAGAAAUGACAACAGAUGGUGAAUCAGGGAAGUCCCUGUUUAAAAAAGAAAAAAACAGAAUUUACAGUAACUGGCCGAAUACAAUCCCGGCCAUCGACACAGUCACAGAAACCAAAUCAGCCACACACACCAGGCCUGUACAACACAGAAAUGGGCUGAAAACCUGAGUGCAAAAGGAGCUUCCAUUUACAAAAUGUCCUGAUAUAAACCCCUACCUGCAUCAUCACUCGAGAUGUCAACAAAACACACUCAAGCGCCUUACCAUCAACCAAGAGAUUUUUUAAAGGUUAAAGUAACCUCACAAAUUAUUUACUUCCUAUCAUGCCGAUGACAAGUUAGUCCCAGCCCAUCUCUGCAAUAUGUUUCCAUUUCACACCCCAUAAGACAAAUAACAACUUAA
Long non-coding RNA from Branchiostoma floridae (Florida lancelet), 839 nucleotides. RefSeq lists it as uncharacterized. Lineage: Eukaryota; Metazoa; Chordata; Leptocardii; Amphioxiformes; Branchiostomatidae. The transcript is spliced from 2 exons. The record is from RefSeq and is a predicted model, not a curated record.